AGCUUGCUCUCGGGUGACGAGCGGCGGACGGGUGAGUAAUGUCUGGGAAACUGCCUGAUGGAGGGGGAUAACUACUGGAAACGGUAGCUAAUACCGCAUAAUGUCGCAAGACCAAAGUGGGGGACCUUCGGGCCUCAUGCCAUCAGAUGUGCCCAGAUGGGAUUAGCUAGUAGGUGGGGUAACGGCUCACCUAGGCGACGAUCCCUAGCUGGUCUGAGAGGAUGACCAGCCACACUGGAACUGAGACACGGUCCAGACUCCUACGGGAGGCAGCAGUGGGGAAUAUUGCACAAUGGGCGCAAGCCUGAUGCAGCCAUGCCGCGUGUGUGAAGAAGGCCUUCGGGUUGUAAAGCACUUUCAGCGGGGAGGAAGGCGAUAAGGUUAAUAACCUUGUCGAUUGACGUUACCCGCAGAAGAAGCACCGGCUAACUCCGUGCCAGCAGCCGCGGUAAUACGGAGGGUGCAAGCGUUAAUCGGAAUUACUGGGCGUAAAGCGCACGCAGGCGGUCUGUCAAGUCGGAUGUGAAAUCCCCGGGCUCAACCUGGGAACUGCAUUCGAAACUGGCAGGCUAGAGUCUUGUAGAGGGGGGUAGAAUUCCAGGUGUAGCGGUGAAAUGCGUAGAGAUCUGGAGGAAUACCGGUGGCGAAGGCGGCCCCCUGGACAAAGACUGACGCUCAGGUGCGAAAGCGUGGGGAAGCAACAGGAUUAGAUACCCUGGUAGUCCACGCCGUAACGAUGUCGAUUUGG
Molecule: ribosomal RNA, 748 nt
Filed under: Klebsiella sp. HGH0256
Lineage: Bacteria; Pseudomonadati; Pseudomonadota; Gammaproteobacteria; Enterobacterales; Enterobacteriaceae
Description: bacterial SSU rRNA
Rfam family: Bacterial small subunit ribosomal RNA
Source: RNAcentral